Cloeon dipterum is the source of this 866-nucleotide long non-coding RNA. RefSeq lists it as uncharacterized. Lineage: Eukaryota; Metazoa; Arthropoda; Insecta; Ephemeroptera; Baetidae. The record is from RefSeq and is a predicted model, not a curated record. The transcript is spliced from 4 exons.
UAAAUGAAUUUUUUGCCUCCAUUUUCAGCCGCCCACUGUAUCGAAGGACAAAAAGCUGAGGACUUUGAAGUCACCAUAGGAAUGUACAACAAGACUGUGUGGAAUUCUACUGACAUUCAGAUUAAAAAACCCAGCAGGCUGAAAAUUCAUCCAAAGUACUCGAGAGGGAAGUUCCACUACGACGUCGGUCUCAUGAUUUUUGAAAAAGGAUUUGAACUGACUGAUCACGUACGCCCGAUUUGUCUGUGGAACGAAGACACCAAUCUUGACGCCGUCGCCGGAAGGAACGCUUUGGUGGCUGGCUACGGAUAUUUUAAGAAUUACUCUCACCCUGAGACGCUUCAAGAGGCUGAAAUACCGAUAAGAUCCCACUUGGAGUGCGCGCUACCAUAGUCUGAGAAAAUUUUACGGAGCGCGAUUGAAGCCUGGAGACAAUUUUUGCGCUGGUUAUACAAACGGCACAACCGUGUGCAACGGAGACAGUGGCAGCAGCCUCUCACUCGAAAAAGACGGAAGGUGGUUUAUUAGAGGCAUUGUCAGCUUUGCCAAAUCAAAAAAAGUCCAAAUUGAUGACGCAGAAGCCAAAGUGUGCGAUCCUGACGCUUUUCCUUUGUUCUCUGACGUGGCUUAUUACAUCGAUUGGAUUGUGGAAUUCUCCCCUGACAUCAAUUUCGACUAUUUUCGGGACUAUUUUCGGCCAUAAUUUACCGAAUGACUAUAAAUAAUUUUUGUAACUGGUUAGUUAUGAAUGAAAUAGUUUUGUGCAAUUAGAAAACUAAUGGAGUUUUUCUCAUACUAAUAAAUACACCGUUUUCUGAAUUUCAACCACUGAAAAUGAAUAAAUUCUCUUUGGUUAGAUUAAAGCA